UACGGAGGGUGCAAGCGUUAUCCGGAUUCACUGGGUUUAAAGGGAGCGUAGGCGGGAAGGUAAGUCCGUGGUGAAAGCCCUCAGCUUAACUGACGGACUGCCAUAGAUACUACAUGUCUUGAAUAUCGUAGAGGUUUGCGGAAUAGGUCAUGUAGCGGUGAAAUGCUUAGAUAUGACCUGGAACACCUAUUGCGAAGGCAGCAGGCUAAGCGAUUAUUGACGCUCAGGCACGAAAGCGUGGGGAGCAAACAGG
Molecule: ribosomal RNA, 253 nt
Filed under: uncultured bacterium
Lineage: Bacteria
Description: partial 16S ribosomal RNA
Rfam family: Bacterial small subunit ribosomal RNA
Source: RNAcentral